GAGUGUAUCACCUCAUACUGGGACCAGUCUGGUUCACCAGGAGACUCCUCCUGUCCCCAGUGUGGAGAAAGCUCCAGGAGAGGACAUGGACUGGAGACGGCCGGUCAGACCAGUGCUGAACAAAUGAGAGGUGGUCUUCAGGAGGUUUUAGAUGAACAUAAGAUCAGUCUGAGGAGGAGAUGUGAACGUGUGACUGAAGGAACUGGUGAAGCAGGAAGUAGAACUCUCCUCAACAGGAUCUACACUGAGCUCUACAUCACAGAGGGACAGAGUGAAGAGGUCAACAGCCAACAUGAGGUCAGACAGCUUGAGACAGCUUCCAAGAGAGAGAUCAUCCAUGAAACACCAAUCAAGUACCAUGAGAUCUUUAAAGCCCUCCCAGACCAACAGAAACCCAUCAGAGUGGUUCUGACUAACGGUGUCGCUGGUGUUGGGAAAACCUUCACGGUGCAGAAGUUCACUCUGGACUGGGCAGAGGGCUUGGAAAACCAGGACAUCAGUCUGCUGGUUCUGCUUUCAUUCAGAGAGCUGAACUUGAUCAGAGAUGAGCGCUACAGUCUUCUGGAGCUGCUCCGUGUUUUCCAUCCAACACUCCAGAAGGUCAGAGCAGAGACGCUGGCUGUCUGUAAACUUUUGUUCAUCUUUGACGGCCUGGAUGAAAGCAGACUGUCGUUGGAUUUCAGCAUCAGUGAGGUUGUUCAUGAUGUCACACAGAAGUCAUCAGUUAAUGUGCUGUUAAUAAACCUCAUCAAGGGGAAUCUGCUUCCCUCAGCUCUCAUCUGGAUAACUUCUCGACCUGCAGCAGCCAAUCAGAUCCCUCCUUCAUGUGUGGACAGGCUGACAGAAGUCCGAGGCUUCACUGACACCCAGAAGGAGGAGUACUUCAGGAGGAGGUACAGUGAUGAAGAUCUGUCCAGCACAAUCAUCUCCCACAUCAAGACAUCCAGGAGCCUCCACAUCAUGUGUCUGAUCCCAGUCUUCUGCUGGAUCACUGCUACAGUUCUGGAGAACAUGAUGAGCACGGAGCAGAGAGGAGAGCUGCCCAAGACCCUGACUGACAUGUACUCACACUUCCUGUUGGUUCAGACCAAGAGGAAGAGGCAGAAGUAUGAUGGGGGACAUGAGAGCAGUCCACAGGAGCUGAUGGAGGCUGAGAGAGAAGUUCUUCUGAAGCUGGGGAGGCUGGCGUUUGAACAUCUGGAGAACGGAAACCUCAUGUUCUAUGAAGAAGACCUGGAGCGCUGUGGUCUGGAUGUCACAGAGGCCUCAGUGUUCUCAGGAGUUUGCACAGAGAUCUUCAAAAGAGAGAGUGUGAUCUUCCAGAAAACGGUUUACUGCUUUGUUCAUCUGAGCAUUCAGGAGUUUCUGGCUGCAGUUUACAUGCUCCACUGUUUCACCAACAGGAACACAACAGUACUGGAGGAUUUUCUAGGAGAAAAAUAUGACAACCCAACGCUUGAUGUCUUCCUUAAAGAAGCAAUGUUGAAAUCUUUGAAAAGUGAAAAUGGCCACCUGGACCUGUUUGUUCGUUUCCUUCAUGGACUGUGUCUGGAGUCAAACCAGAGACUCCUAGGAGGUCUGCUGGGUCAGAUAGACAACAGUCCAGAAAUGAUCCAACGAAUCAUCAACAACCUGAGGAAGAUCAACAGUAUUUACAUCUCUCCUGACAGAAGCAUCAACAUCUUCCACUGUCUGAUUGAGAUGAAUGAUCUCUCAGUAUAUCAGGAGAUCCAAGAGUUCUUGAAGUCAGAGAACAGAUCAGGGCUAGAACUCUCUGAGAUCCAGUGCUCUGCUCUGGCCUACAUGCUGCAGAUGUCAGAGGAGGUUCUGGAUGAGUUGGACCUGGACAAGUACAACACAACAAACGAGGGAAAACGGCGACUGAUUCCAGCUGUGAGGAACUGCAGGAAGGCUAGAAUUACUGUCGACUAUCUCUCAGAGGCUCACUGUGAAGUCAUAGCCUCAGCUCUGAAGAUCAACCCCUCCCAUCUGAGAGAGCUGGAGCUGGGGUCUGACAAUUAUGAUCCAGGUGUGGAGCUCCUGUGUUCUGGCCUGGAGAGUCUGAACUGUCGUCUAGAGAUUCUGAGAUUGAAAAGAUGCAGUUUGUCAGAGAUCAGCUGUUCUUCUCUGGUCUCAGCUCUGAAGUCUAACCCCUCACAUCUGAGAGAGCUGGACCUGAGCGAUGACUACCAGCUCCAGGAUUUAGGAGUGAAGUUUCUGUGUGAUUACCUGCAGAGUUCAAACUGCAAACUGGAGACUCUAAGAUUGGAGUGGUGCAGUCUGUCAGAGAUCAGCUGUUCUUCUCUAGCCUCAGCUCUGAACUCUAACCCAUCACAUCUGAGAGAGCUGGACCUGAGCCGCAACGAGCUCCAGGAUUCAGGAGUGAAGUGUCUGUGUGAUUACCUGCAGAGUCCAAACUGCAAACUGGAGACUCUGAGAUUGAGUGAAUGCAGAUUGUCAGAGAUCAGCUGUUCUUCUCUAGCCUCAGCUCUGAAGUCUAACCCCUCAAAUCUGAGAGAGCUGGACCUGAGCAACAACCAGCUCCAGUAUUCAGAAGUGAAGGUCCUGAGUGACUUUGUAGAGAGUCCACACUACAGACUUGAGUCUCUGAGCUUUGGGGAGGGUUACCCCAAUAAAUGGAUCAGAGCUGACGAUGAGAAAAAAUCUCUGAAGGCCCAACACUUCUCACUAUCAGGAGACUUCAGUGUCAAAAAGGAUGAGAAGGAAAACCUUCAUCUGCUUGAUGAUAAAACGGCUCCAUCAUCCUUCUCACCUGAAAAGACUGACUCUACAUACAGGUUCAGGUGUCCUGGUCAGGGUGUGUUCCAGUGUGCUUCCACUAGGCUGGUGUUUGCCAUGACAAAGGAGGCGGAGCUUCAGUACAAGACUGUCCAAUGGGAUGAAGCUCUCCUCCAAUCAGCUGGCAAGGUGGCCGCAGGGCCGCUGUUUGACAUCCAGUGUCCUGAAGAAGCUGUGUGUCAGCUCCAUAUCCCACACUGUGAAUCAAAGGAAGGACUGCUUGUUGAUGGAGGCUUGUCUGUUGUCCACAUCACUGAUGAUGGGAUGAGCUUCUUGGAGCCGUUGGAGAUCACAGACACUCAUGUGGUUGUGAACGUCCCUCACCUAUCCGCCUUUGGCCUGGUCUGGGAUUUUUUAAAAAGGUUUCUGGGAAAUUCCCAGCCAAUAAACGGAGCAGUCCUGCUAUUUGUCCGACCUCUGACUGUAAGCGAUAAAGUGCUCUACGUGUUUCUGGUGCCAGAAAACAUCGAUUUCGACAAGCUCGCUGAAAAGCAGAGAGGGGCAGAUAAUAUCCCGACCUCUUCUAUAUGUUCUCUGAGCUCUGGCCAGAAUUACAGCGUCCACUGUGAAGCUGAGGGCUUCACAGUACAGCCAGAGUUUUCUUCACGACAAACCAAGAUAGAGUGACUCUGAAAAUCCAGGACCAAGACAGGAGAGAAGUCUGGAGACGUGGUGUGUUUCUUAGAGGUUCAAGACUGGAAACUCUGCCAAAUGUUGUUCUAGCAGAGGACAGAAUCCCCAUAGUGGACAGUGUUCCAGCAGAGGACAGGAUCCCUAUAGGGGACAGGGUUCCAGCAGAGGACAGAGUCCCUAUAGGGGACAGGGU
This is an RNA transcript of Cheilinus undulatus (humphead wrasse), 3625 nucleotides long. It is a transcript of the gene named NLR family CARD domain-containing protein 3-like, with no coding region annotated. Lineage: Eukaryota; Metazoa; Chordata; Actinopteri; Labriformes; Labridae. The record is from RefSeq and is a predicted model, not a curated record. The transcript has 14 exons.